GUGCUAUACUGCAAGUAGAACGCUGAAGAGAGGAGCUUGCUCUUCUUGGAUGAGUUGCGAACGGGUGAGUAACGCGUAGGUAACCUGCCUUGUAGCGGGGGAUAACUAUUGGAAACGAUAGCUAAUACCGCAUAACAAUGGAUGACACAUGUCAUUUAUUUGAAAGGGGCAAUUGCUCCACUACAAGAUGGACCUGCGUUGUAUUAGCUAGUAGGUGAGGUAACGGCUCACCUAGGCGACGAUACAUAGCCGACCUGAGAGGGUGAUCGGCCACACUGGGACUGAGACACGGCCCAGACUCCUACGGGAGGCAGCAGUAGGGAAUCUUCGGCAAUGGGGGCAACCCUGACCGAGCAACGCCGCGUGAGUGAAGAAGGUUUUCGGAUCGUAAAGCUCUGUUGUAAGUCAAGAACGAGUGUGAGAGUGGAAAGUUCACACUGUGACGGUAGCUUACCAGAAAGGGACGGCUAACUACGUGCCAGCAGCCGCGGUAAUACGUAGGUCCCGAGCGUUGUCCGGAUUUAUUGGGCGUAAAGCGAGCGCAGGCGGUUUGAUAAGUCUGAAGUUAAAGGCUGUGGCUCAACCAUAGUUCGCUUUGGAAACUGUCAAACUUGAGUGCAGAAGGGGAGAGUGGAAUUCCAUGUGUAGCGGUGAAAUGCGUAGAUAUAUGGAGGAACACCGGUGGCGAAAGCGGCUCUCUGGUCUGUAACUGACGCUGAGGCUCGAAAGCGUGGGGAGCGAACAGGAUUAGAUACCCUGGUAGUCCACGCC
Molecule: ribosomal RNA, 771 nt
Filed under: uncultured bacterium
Lineage: Bacteria
Description: bacterial SSU rRNA
Rfam family: Bacterial small subunit ribosomal RNA
Source: RNAcentral